GUCCCUGUAGCGCAGUGGAUAGCGCGUUAGACUUCUAAUCUAAAGGUCGCGGGUUCAACUCCCGCCAGGGAUG
Molecule: transfer RNA, 73 nt
Filed under: Varroa jacobsoni
Lineage: Eukaryota; Metazoa; Arthropoda; Arachnida; Mesostigmata; Varroidae
Also listed under: 1 other name
Description: tRNA-Arg
Rfam family: tRNA
About the family: Transfer RNA (tRNA) molecules are approximately 80 nucleotides in length. Their secondary structure includes four short double-helical elements and three loops (D, anti-codon, and T loops). Further hydrogen bonds mediate the characteristic L-shaped molecular structure. tRNAs have two regions of fundamental functional importance: the anti-codon, which is responsible for specific mRNA codon recognition, and the 3' end, to which the tRNAs corresponding amino acid is attached (by aminoacyl-tRNA synthetases). tRNAs cope with the degeneracy of the genetic code in two manners: having more than one tRNA (with a specific anti-codon) for a particular amino acid; and 'wobble' base-pairing, i.e. permitting non-standard base-pairing at the 3rd anti-codon position.
Source: RNAcentral